CCAAUAGCGUAUAUUAAAGUUGUUGCAGUUAAAAAGCUCGUAGUUGAACUUCGGGGUCUACCCAUUGGUCAGGCUUAAUUGUCUGCACUGGUGAGAUGGAUCUCUACCUUCUGAGGAACUUUCAUGCCAUUUAUUUGGUGUGGUUGGAAAUCAGGACUGUUACUUUGAAAAAAUUAGAGUGUUUAAAGCAGACUAUCGUCUGAAUACAUUAGCAUGGAAUAAUGAAAUAGGACGGACUGAUUCUAUUUCGUUGGUUUCUAGGAUCACCGUAAUGAUUAAUAGGGAUAGUUGGGGGCAUUAGUAUUCAAUUGUCAGAGGUGAAAUUCUUGGAUUUAUUGAAGACUAACUACUGCGAAAGCAUUUGCCAAGGAUGUUUUCAUUAAUCAAGAACGAAAGUUAGGGGAUCGAAGACGAUCAGAUACCGUCGUAGUCUUAACCAUAAACUAUGCCGACUAGGGAUCGGACGAAGUUAAUUUUAUAAUGACGCGUUCGGCACCUUACG
Molecule: small RNA, 502 nt
Filed under: uncultured Diversispora
Lineage: Eukaryota; Fungi; Glomeromycota; Glomeromycetes; Diversisporales; Diversisporaceae
Description: SSU rRNA
Rfam family: Eukaryotic small subunit ribosomal RNA
Source: RNAcentral